RNAcentral lists this transfer RNA (74 nucleotides) under Anaerolineae bacterium. RNAcentral describes it as "tRNA-Gln". It matches the Rfam family "tRNA". From Rfam's summary of the family: Transfer RNA (tRNA) molecules are approximately 80 nucleotides in length. Lineage: Bacteria; Bacillati; Chloroflexota; Anaerolineae. The record is from RNAcentral.
UCGGGGAUCGUCUAAUGGCAGGACAGGAGACUUUGGAUCUCCCGAUCGAGGUUCGAAUCCUCGUCCCCGAGUCA